This 1622-nucleotide long non-coding RNA is filed under the name Cinara cedri. Lineage: Eukaryota; Metazoa; Arthropoda; Insecta; Hemiptera; Aphididae. The record is from RNAcentral.
AUUUCAGAAUUAAAAAAUGAGCACGCCACAGCCACUGCUGGCAUAGGCUCAGCAGUCCCCGUUGUCACCCCCAAAGCAGUCAAUGCAACAAAGGUAACUAUUACUAUUAUUUACCGGUCUUGUUAAAAAUACUUUUUGAAUUCGAAUUAUAUGCUGCUUUUACCUCUAGGAAAUCACCAAAAUUCAUGUAUAUGUAUUUAUAUCUUUAAAACCCUUGGUGAAAUUUUAUUAUCAAACGACAAUUUAUUAAAUUUUAUGAUGACACUGUAUAUAAUUACACAAUUUAAUUUCAUUAUAAUCACUACAAUAUUUUAAAUGUUACAGACGCUUCACAUAAAAAGAAAAUCUAGUUGUGAGAUCUUUAAUACACUUAUUACUUAUAUAUGGCGAACAUCGAUUACAUAUACAGUACACCUGUAUAAGGAAGCAGUAUGAGUUGAUGCAUACAGCAAUUAUUAUUAUAAUUAACAUCUUGAAGUACAUUGGAAAACAAAGUCUUAAUAUUUGUAUGUCUUGAAAACUAAGCCUAUGCUUGUGCUACAAAUGGCAAAUCUUUGAAGAAAAAAACCCAUAACCAUGUUAAUAUAGUAAAUGGUGACAAUAGGAGUCUGGGUGAUUCAAACCAUUUACCAGAAUAUGUGUGCUACAAAUAGUCCAAAGAGGUACAGAUCUGAUAACGACAAUUUAUGUUCAACAGUAUUAUCCUGAAUCAUCCGAGUAUUUGCAUGACAUAUAGGCUAUCGAUCAGUAGAGCAAAGUAGCAGUCAUAAUAUUGGAGCUCUUUAAAAUUGAAUAUUAAAAUCGACUUCCAAGGAAACCUAGAAAAUUUGUUAACAAAUGCAUACAAAUUUAAAUCGAAUAUGGGAAAGGUCUGAAAUGUAUGAAAUGUUGGUGUGCACAGGCUCCAUUAAAAAUUACUUAUCUUACUUUUAAUAGUUACUAAUCAUUAUUAUUAUAUUAUAUUAUAUUGAUUUUAGGGCCUUUGAUGAAAAAAGCUGCCAAAGGUGAACUUUUUGAUUGUUUUAAGGAGACACGAAUAUAAAAAAGUUAGUUAUUGUUAAUACAACAGAAUUUCUUCUACUAGAUUUCUACCAAAAUACAUAAAGCACUACAAGUAAUUCUUAUUUCAUUUUAAAGAAGCCCAAAUUAAAGCAAGCAAUUUUACACUUAUAAGAAAAGCAUGUAUAGUUAAUCUGGUUCAAUGAAAUGAUCUAAAUAUUCUUAUAUCUCCUAAAAUAAUUUUGUUUAUAUAUAUCCACCACAAUGAUUAUAUUGUUUUUAAUAGUUCUUAACUUCUGAAUUGUAAUUUAACGUUUAAUAAUAAUUUGAAAAGACAAAUUUUUAUAUUGUAUACUCUAAUGUUUAAAUAGUAUUAAAACAAUAUGCGUGCAUAGGGUAUACAUCCUGCAAAAAUGUGUGCCUACUUUAAAUUUUUGAUGAAAAAUUGUUUAAUUAUUUAAAACUGAUAAGUGUAACUGAGUAGGUAUAAUUAUUGCUAAAUAUACUAUAUAUUUACUAAAUAUAUUUCGCCAUGGGUAUAAUUUAUUCUGUAUCAUUAUUUUUUAGGAUGUUAAAAUUAAAUUUGUAUUGUAGUUAAUUGAAGAUUUUAACUCUGUUUAUCU